This 886-nucleotide ribosomal RNA is filed under the name Bulgaria inquinans. RNAcentral describes it as "LSU rRNA". It matches the Rfam family "Eukaryotic large subunit ribosomal RNA", at positions 38 to 941 of the family's 3401-position model. Lineage: Eukaryota; Fungi; Ascomycota; Leotiomycetes; Phacidiales; Phacidiaceae. The record is from RNAcentral.
GCAUAUCAAUAAGCGGAGGAAAAGAAACCAACAGGGAUUGCCUCAGUAACGGCGAGUGAAGCGGCAACAGCUCAAAUUUGAAAUCUGGCCCUUUCAGGGUCCGAGUUGUAAUUUGUAGAGGAUGUUUCGGGCGUGGCUCCGGUCUAAGUUCCUUGGAACAGGACGUCAUAGAGGGUGAGAAUCCCGUAUGUGACUGGUAGCCUAUGCCCAUGUGAAACUCCUUCGACGAGUCGAGUUGUUUGGGAAUGCAGCUCAAAAUGGGUGGUAAAUUUCAUCUAAAGCUAAAUAUUGGCCAGAGACCGAUAGCGCACAAGUAGAGUGAUCGAAAGAUGAAAAGCACUUUGGAAAGAGAGUUAAACAGUACGUGAAAUUGUUGAAAGGGAAGCGCUUGCAACCAGACUUGCACGUGGCCGAUCAACCGGUGUUCUCACCGGUGCACUCGGUUGCGUUCAGGCCAGCAUCGGUUUCGACGGUUGGAUAAAGGCCCCGGGAAUGUAGCUUCUUUCGGGGAGUGUUAUAGCCCGGGGUGCAAUGCAGCCUGUUGGGACCGAGGACCGCGCUUCGGCUAGGAUGCUGGCGUAAUGGUUGUAAGCGACCCGUCUUGAAACACGGACCAAGGAGUCUAACAUCUAUGCGAGUGUUUGGGUGUCAAACCCAUACGCGUAAUGAAAGUGAACGGAGGUGAGAACCCUUAAGGGUGCAUCAUCGACCGAUCCUGAUGUCUUCGGAUGGAUUUGAGUAAGAGCAUAGCUGUUGGGACCCGAAAGAUGGUGAACUAUGCCUGAAUAGGGUGAAGCCAGAGGAAACUCUGGUGGAGGCUCGCAGCGGUUCUGACGUGCAAAUCGAUCGUCAAAUUUGGGUAUAGGGGCGAAAGACUAAUCGAACC